CCAGCGAGCUCCGCUGCCCAGAGAGGCAGGAAACGGGGCCAGCCAGGGGGACUCGAGAGCGGCUGCACUUUCCUGUCCCCCGCCGAGGAGAGCGGAGGAGCAGCGGCCCGUGGCCUGGCGAGUUUCCCCGGAGAGGAGCCGGAUUCCGGUGCAGGGACGGAGCGAGGAGUCCGAGGGUGGCGUAAAAAUGGAAGAGCAGGGACCCAGGAGACCCAUUCAAAGGGAGAGACUGGAGUGCAAAGGAAAGAAACCUCCUACCGGCCAAGUUGGGACCAUCAGGGAUCUUCUGCCUCGGGCAGAUUUAUGUCAAAUUAAGCAGGAGGCAGAGGAGGGGCAGCCACAGCACCACUGGGAUGCCCAGAAGCAGGAUUUCCUGAAGACGAUGCAGCCCCCUCAUUCAGGGUGGGAAACCGCACAGGCUCCCAAUUUUCCCCACUCCAGGGAUGGUGUCCACUCCUUCAGGGGAGCUGCAGAUGCCAGUCGGUGGCCCAGUGGGAGAGCAGGGGGAACAGACCAGACCCUGCUCCCAGACACUGAGGGACUUCUUGGAAAGGAAGCUGCAACUUGCUCUGGCUUCUGCACUCCUCAGGAAGCUGAACCUGCAAACCUAGCUGAGACUGAACCUGCAACCCUGGCCAGGAUGGAAGGAGGAAGAUGGACGGUU
Molecule: non-coding RNA, 664 nt
Organism: Podarcis muralis (Common wall lizard)
Lineage: Eukaryota; Metazoa; Chordata; Lepidosauria; Squamata; Lacertidae
Source: RefSeq, a predicted model, not a curated record